GGAUGCGAUCAUACCAGCACUAAAGCACCGGAUCCCAUCAGAACUCCGAAGUUAAGCGUGCUUGGGAGAGAGUAGUACUAGGAUGGGUGACCUCUUGGGAAGUCCUCGUGUUGCAUUCC
This 119-nucleotide ribosomal RNA is filed under the name Triticum dicoccoides. Lineage: Eukaryota; Viridiplantae; Streptophyta; Magnoliopsida; Poales; Poaceae. The record is from RNAcentral.